AUACGGAGGGGGCUAGCGUUGUUCGGAAUUACUGGGCGUAAAGCGUACGUAGGCGGACUGAUCAGUUGGGGGUGAAAUCCCAGGGCUUAACCCUGGAACUGCCUUCAAUACUGUCAGUCUUGAAUUUGGGAGAGGUGAGUGGAAUUCCUAGUGUAGAGGUGAAAUUCAUAGAUAUUAGGAGGAACACCAGUGGCGAAGGCGGCUCACUGGCCCAUUACUGACGCUGAGGUACGAAAGCGUGGGGAGCAAACAGGAUUAGAAACCCUAGUAGUCC
RNAcentral lists this ribosomal RNA (274 nucleotides) under uncultured bacterium. RNAcentral's name for it is "partial 16S ribosomal RNA". It matches the Rfam family "Bacterial small subunit ribosomal RNA", at positions 523 to 796 of the family's 1533-position model. The record is from RNAcentral.